GGUUGUGGCUCAGUGGUACAGCGUUUGCCUAACAUAUGUAAGGCCCUGGGUUCAAUCCUCAGCACCA
RNAcentral lists this transfer RNA (67 nucleotides) under Marmota monax (woodchuck). RNAcentral's name for it is "tRNA.Val". Lineage: Eukaryota; Metazoa; Chordata; Mammalia; Rodentia; Sciuridae. The record is from RNAcentral.